AGGAUGGUUACAAAAACUGCAUUCUACACAGAGGAAAACAAGUUGACUUGCCUAUGCUUCGGCUAUAUGUCCAAUGACCUAGAUGUACAGUUCAGAGAGAAUGCUAGACUGGGAGUUAAAGUCAUACUCCCUUCUCUCACAAAAAAGUAUCAGCUGCUGCUGCACGCUACGAUCACUCAUUUGCUGUGAGAGCUGGAAGAAUCUGGAAUGUUCUCCCCAAAAUUGUCAAUACUCAAAGGACUUUGACAAGCUUCAAGACAUCUCUUGGAAACUUCCUAGACACCGUUCCAGACAAGCCCCCUACUCCUGGAUACAGUGCAGAAAACUCUAACUCGAUAAUAGACUGGUACAGUCAAGGAGGUGGUCCGCAAAUUGCGUGAAGAUGCCCUGCACUUCUAAACCUCUCAAUAGGCUUAACCAAUAGGGACAAACGAAAAUCAACAGUUCGUGUCAUGGCAGAGAAUAUUUCCUGAUUAAUUUUGCUUUCACAGUUGGAAUAUGAGCAGACUACAUGCCUGAUAAUCCUGAUUCCUACAUCCGUAACUUCAAGGAGGUUUCAAAUGGGAUCGGAGCAACGUGUACACUGUACGUCUGUGUGGCAAUGAAAAUGUGGCAAUUGUAUAAUUAAAAAUUACUAUUCGUAAAAAUAAAAAGUUUUUUAUAGACAACAAGAUUUUGUUCAAAAUUUAAAACAAACUUUUGGGGAUUCAAUAGAAUAGAAAUUAAACGGUUUUGUCAAUUUUUAGACGUUUUAUUUAUUUCACACAGUGUAUGAUAAUUUUAACAAUUUUUAAAUCUGCACUUUCUGGCUGUAUUAUUUCAUGGAUUUGAUCGUAAUAUAAUUAUAUUUUGUAUAAUAUAACUGUAAAUAAAGCAGGUAUUUGGAAGAGAUGAUAAUAUGCUUUUAAGUGUUUAUUAUAUUUUACUGCAUUAAGAUUGUUCCAUAUACAACUGCUUUUUACCGAGUGGAGUUAUACCCAGAUUUUGAUUUUGAUUGCUUAAAUUCUUUCAACUUUUUUACGUUCUAGUUAAUAGGUUAUUAUUAUUGUGAAUUUUGCUUGAAAGUUUGUAAUUCUAAAAUGUUGUAUAAGCACUUAAUUUAUUAACGAAGAAUUCAAAUCUAA
This is a long non-coding RNA of Bolinopsis microptera, 1124 nucleotides long. RefSeq lists it as uncharacterized. The transcript is spliced from 3 exons. The record is from RefSeq and is a predicted model, not a curated record. Lineage: Eukaryota; Metazoa; Ctenophora; Tentaculata; Lobata; Bolinopsidae.